AUGGGACGUCAAGGGUUUUAUCAUGAUGACCUCGAGCAGCCGCCGACAUCCCUCCCCACAUCUACCCUACCCCUGCUGCCGCUUGCACUGUCCUUGCUCCUCGAGGGAGCUAGGGACACAAUGUUCUCUAGGAUGGGCAUGACCAGAUCCACGAGGAGGCCACAUUCUUCCAUGGGAACCCAACCAAGCACACCACCCUUCGCAACCAUCCAAUCCCAGCCUAACAAAGUCAAGCCCCGCCAUCGAUCCACAAAUCAGGCUCGCCCCAUCCAGGUUCACUGCAAGUCUGUGACGAGUCUGUAA
Molecule: ribosomal RNA, 303 nt
Filed under: Triticum aestivum (bread wheat)
Lineage: Eukaryota; Viridiplantae; Streptophyta; Magnoliopsida; Poales; Poaceae
Description: partial small subunit ribosomal RNA
Source: RNAcentral